GCCUGAUCCAGCCAUACCGCGUGGGUGAAGAAGGCCUUCGGGUUGUAAAGCCCUUUUGUUGGGAAAGAAAUCCUGCCGAUUAAUACUCAGUAGGGAUGACGGUACCCAAAGAAUAAGCACCGGCUAACUUCGUGCCAGCAGCCGCGGUAAUACGAAGGGUGCAAGCGUUACUCGGAAUUACUGGGCGUAAAGCGUGCGUAGGUGGUUGUUUAAGUCUGCUGUGAAAGCCCUGGGCUCAACCUGGGAAUUGCAGUGGAUACUGGGCGACUAGAGUGUGGUAGAGGAUAAUGGAAUUUCCGGUGUAGCAGUGAAAUGCGUAGAGAUCGGAAGGAACAUCUGUGGCGAAGGCGACUAUCUGGGCCAACACUGACACUGAGGCACGAAAGCGUGGGGAGCAAACAGGAUUAGAUACCCUGGUAGUCCACGCCCUAAACGAUGCGAACUGGAUGUUGGGCACAACUUGGUGCCCAGUAUCGAAGCUAACGCGUUAAGUUCGCCGCCUGGGGAGUACGGUCGCAAGACUGAAACUCAAAGGAAUUGACGGGGGCCCGCACAAGCGGUGGAGUAUGUGGUUUAAUUCGAUGCAACGCGAAGAACCUUACCUGGUCUUGACAUCCACGGAACUUUCCAGAGAU
Molecule: ribosomal RNA, 635 nt
Filed under: Pseudoxanthomonas sp. So2Ps_1707
Lineage: Bacteria; Pseudomonadati; Pseudomonadota; Gammaproteobacteria; Lysobacterales; Lysobacteraceae
Description: bacterial SSU rRNA
Rfam family: Bacterial small subunit ribosomal RNA
Source: RNAcentral